AUUGUUAACAAUUUUUUUAUUAAAAAGUUUGUAAAUUAUCAUAUUGACAAUUUUCAUAAGUUGAUUAGAAAUAUUAUAUCAAAAAAUUAAAAAUAAAUGAAAUUAAAAGUCAAAAGUAAGAAACAAUUGUUUCUAUAAAUUUCUUUUAUAAGAAAAAUAAAAUAUGGAUGGCUGAGGAAUGGAAUUGCGCUAAACUACGAGAUUGUGAAACUUCCUGGUUAAGUUGGUGGUAUCCAUUGGACACAUUUUGAAACACCCACUAAAUUUAAUUUCAGAACACUGCAUUUGCGAUAUAUUCGUUACCAUCAUAAGCCUUCCCAACCGGGACACUGGUUUUAAAUUUGUAUAUCUUAAGAUAACAAUUUGAUAAUGUAAAACUCCUAGCCAAAUACGUUACAAAUCUGGAAGCAGGAAGAAUAGACUACAAAAAUGGUUGUAAAUGCAGUAACGAAUUCUUUAACUGGGUACGAUGUUUGUUCAAGAUUCAUAGCUUAGUGCAGAGUUAUUAUAAAUUACAGUGGCCAACAAAAUUUAUAAAAAGUCGAACCCCAGAGACCAAAGUACACUUUUCUAAACUCAAAUUUCUCUAUCACAUUAGGAUUGGAGACGCUAUAACAUGGCAAUCACAUCUUUAUUUAUAUUCUUGUGUCGUCUGAAAGUCCAAUCUUUCGUCUUUUAAAUAAAGGUUUAACUUCGUAAUAUUUUCUUCCUACUUUGAGAUAUCAUAAUCCAAAGUAAAAAACAGCUAUAAAUUCAAAAAAUAAAUUGUCUUUAUUUUACAGCAAACAUUUCAGCGGAAAAUUCAAAAAGUAUUAUAUAUAUUUCGAUGAAAAAAAGAUAUAUCUGAGGUUAAACCUUUAUUUUAAAGUCGACAGAUCGAACACUAAGACAACAUAACAAAUUUUAUAAAUAAAGAUGUCUUCGCGCUGUUAUAACGGCUCAAAUAUGGCCACAACGGGAACUUUUGAUCUUAAAAACACGAUAUCUCGAAGUCAGCUUUGGAUUCAGCGCAGCUCAAUCCUUUAGAAAAAAAUAUUUUGGCAUUUGGGUUAAAAUUUGUUAGCCUGUGUUAUCUAAAACAAAGUAAUU
This is a long non-coding RNA of Lucilia sericata (common green bottle fly), 1089 nucleotides long. RefSeq lists it as uncharacterized. NCBI's taxonomy places the organism in Eukaryota, Metazoa, Arthropoda, Insecta, Diptera, Calliphoridae. The record is from RefSeq and is a predicted model, not a curated record. The transcript has 3 exons.